Molecule: ribosomal RNA, 429 nt
Filed under: uncultured bacterium
Lineage: Bacteria
Description: bacterial SSU rRNA
Rfam family: Bacterial small subunit ribosomal RNA
Source: RNAcentral
AUGAACGCUGGCGGCGUGCUUAACACAUGCAAGUCGAGCGAAGCACUAAAGCGGAUUUCUUCGGAUUGAAGGUUUAGUGACUGAGCGGCGGACGGGUGAGUAACGCGUGGGUAACCUGCCUCAUACAGGGGGAUAACAGUUGGAAACGGCUGCUAAUACCGCAUAAGCGCACAGUACCGCAUGGUACGGUGUGAAAAACUCCGGUGGUAUGAGAUGGACCCGCGUCUGAUUAGGUAGUUGGUGGGGUAACGGCCUACCAAGCCGACGAUCAGUAGCCGACCUGAGAGGGUGACCGGCCACAUUGGGACUGAGACACGGCCCAAACUCCUACGGGAGGCAGCAGUGGGGAAUAUUGCACAAUGGGGGAAACCCUGAUGCAGCGACGCCGCGUGAGCGAAGAAGUAUUUCGGUAUGUAAAGCUCUAUCAGC